RNAcentral lists this ribosomal RNA (407 nucleotides) under uncultured bacterium. RNAcentral describes it as "partial 16S ribosomal RNA". It matches the Rfam family "Bacterial small subunit ribosomal RNA", at positions 30 to 526 of the family's 1533-position model. The record is from RNAcentral.
AUUGAACGCUGGCGGCAGGCCUAACACAUGCAAGUCGAGCGGAGCGGCGGACGGGUGAGUAAUGCCUAGGUAUCUGCCUGGUAGUGGGGUAUAACGUCCGGUAACGGGCGCUAAUACCGCAUACUAUCAGAUGAGCCUAGGUCGGAUUAGCUAGUGGGGGGGGUAAAGGCCUACCAGGGCGACGAGCCGUAACUGGUUUGAGAGGCUGAUCAGUCACACUGGAACUGAGACACGGUACAGACUCCUACGGGAGGAAGUAGUGGGGAAUAUUGGAAAAUGGGCGAAAGCCUGAUCCAGCCAAGCCGCGUGUGUGAAGAAGGGCUUCGGAUUGUAAAGCGCUUUAAGUUGGGAGGCGUUAUCAACAGAAGAAGCACCGGCUAACUUCGUGCCAGCAGCCGCGGUAAUUC